This is an RNA transcript of Myotis myotis, 2051 nucleotides long. It is a transcript of the gene named LDL receptor related protein 11, with no coding region annotated. The record is from RefSeq and is a predicted model, not a curated record. The transcript has 8 exons. NCBI's taxonomy places the organism in Eukaryota, Metazoa, Chordata, Mammalia, Chiroptera, Vespertilionidae.
CUGCGGGCGGAGGGCGGAGCCGCCGCUGUCGCUGUUCCUGGUGCUGAUCGCGGGGAGGCACGUUGUGGCCGAGCGCACCCGGGGUCCGGACCGAGGGGCGCGGGACGCGAGGAAGCCCUGGAAAGGACUAGCUGCGGAGCCAGGCCGGGCCGGCGAUGCCUCCCGCUGCUGCGAUUUCUUCCGGCGACCGAUCGCCCCCGGCCUUAGGGGCGCAUCCGGGCCCCGAGGAGGCCGAGCUUUGAGGCUCGGAGGCCUCCUUCCGCCGCGGCCGCGCAGGAGGGCACAGGGCCCGGGUCGCCCGCCCUUGCGCUCUGCGGCCCCGCUUCGGCUCGCUUCCUCCCCCGCCGGCCGCCAUGGCCUGCGCCGCCCGGAAGGGCGCGGGCCCGGAGCGCAGGCGGCCGCCGCCCCCGGGGCUGCGCGCGCUGCUGCUGCUCUGCCUGUGGCUGCCGAGCGGUCGCGCCUCGGGCCCGGCCCCCGCGACGCUGUCCGAGCUGCACACGCAGCUCUCGGGCGUGGAGCAGCUGCUCGGGGAGUUCCGCCAGCAGCUGCAGCAGGAGCGGCCGCAGGAGGAGCUGGAGCUGGAGCUGCGCGCGGGCGGCGGCGCUCCGCCCGGCUGCCCCGGCCCGGGCGGCGGCGGCUACAGCGUCAUGCCCGACGUCAUCAUCCGCACCAAGGACUCCCUCGCGGCGGGCGCCAGCUUCCUGAGCGCGCCGGCGGCCGUGCGGGACGGGCGGCAGUGCGUGGCGGCCUGCUGCUCCGAGCCGCGCUGCUCCGUGGCCGUGGUGGAGCUGCCCCGCCCGCCCGCGCCCCCGGCCGCCGCGCUCGGCUGCUUCCUCUUCAACUGCACGGCGCGCGGCCGCAACGUCUGCAGGUUCGCGCUGCACCGCGGCUACAGCAGCUACAGCCUCAGCCGCGCGCUGGAAGGGCAGCGAGACCUGGCAGCAGGCUUCCCGGCGCCCGCCCGGGCCUCGCCGCGGCUGGAAAAAGAUGAGCCCCCACUUAGCAAGGCCGGGGACGAUGUGGUUCUGCGUCUGCCCACAGACGGGCUGGUUUUGGACGGCCGCGAGAGCACAGACGACCACGCCAUCGUCCAGUACGAGUGGACACUGCUGCAGGGUGACCCGUCAGUGGACAUGAAGGUGCCUCAGUCAGGGACGCUGAAGCUGUCCCACCUGCAGGAAGGACGGUACACCUUUCAGCUCACCGUGACGGACACUGCGGGGCAGAGGAGCGCCGACAACGUCUCGGUGACCGUGCUGCCCCCGGCCUUCCCCACGCGAGGAUGCUCAAAGGUUUGCUCACGCCACCACUUCUUUUGUGACGACGGCUGUUGCAUUGACAUCACACUGGCUUGUGAUGGAGUGGAGCAGUGUCCUGACGGAUCUGAUGAAGCUUUCUGUCAAAAUUUGAGCCUUGACCGGGAGACGGAGACUCACAUGGUGACUGCCCAGCCUAGAACCAUAGCAGCGAGCGAAGAUGCAGCAGGGCACUUCUUGGAGAAGUCUCAGAAAGCCGCUGCCCCACAGCCGCCACCUGCGUUACCAGACACGGAGAGGAAUCAUUCCACCUCCUGGGGACCAAAGAUUCAAACUGACCCCCUGAUGCCAGAUAGUGAUUCCUCGGGGAAAAACGAAAAAGAAGAAAAUUAUAUUUUUGAGUCAAAGAGCAAUCGAGGAGGAGGGGAACACCCAGCCCCAGAAAUAGCCUUUGUUUGGUACCCAACAGUCACAGCCACAACUUCCACAUCCCCUCCUCCUGUGCCAGACACUCCCAGGCACAAUCUUCUUCAGUUGAUGCCAUUAGUAUGUACUCAGCUCCAGGUCCUCUCGUCUUGGAGAGGAGACCACUCUACCUGGAACCAGUUUUAAGCCUGGAAAAAUCAAAGCCAUCAGGAGUGAACUUCCUCAGCUCCCUCCGAUUGUGCAGUGCUGCCACUGACACUGGGCUUGGCCAUCACUGCGUUGCUGCUUCUCAUGGUUGCCUGCCGACUACGCCUGCUCAAACAGAAACUGAAGAAAGCUCGUCCCAUUACAUCUGAGGAAUCUGACUAC